GACGAACGCUGGCGGCGUGCCUAAUGCAUGCAAGUCGAGCGGGCUACAGUCUUCGGAUUGUAGCUUAGCGGCGAACGGGUGAGUAACACGUAGGUAAUCUACCCUUCAGAGGAGGACAACCUCAGGAAACUGAGGCUAAACCUUCAUACGUUCACUGGUAGGGAUACUGGUGAAGAAAGAGUUACCGUUGAGGUGGCUGCUGAAGGAUGAGCCUGCGGCCCAUCAGGUAGUUGGUGAGGUAACGGCUCACCAAGCCGAAGACGGGUAACCGGUCUGAGAGGAUGUCCGGUCACACUGGGACUGAGACACGGCCCAGACUCCUACGGGAGGCAGCAGUGGGGGAUUUUGGACAAUGGGCGAAAGCCUGAUCCAGCGACGCCGCGUGGAGGACGAAGCCCUUCGGGGUGUAAACUCCUUUUCUCAGGGAAAAGGAUGAUGGUACCUGAGGAAUAAGCCCCGGCUAACUACGUG
Molecule: ribosomal RNA, 471 nt
Filed under: uncultured bacterium
Lineage: Bacteria
Description: bacterial SSU rRNA
Rfam family: Bacterial small subunit ribosomal RNA
Source: RNAcentral